This 301-nucleotide ribosomal RNA is filed under the name uncultured bacterium. RNAcentral describes it as "partial 16S ribosomal RNA". It matches the Rfam family "Bacterial small subunit ribosomal RNA", at positions 509 to 807 of the family's 1533-position model. The record is from RNAcentral.
CAGUAGCCGCGGGAAUACGAAGGGGGCUAGCGUUGUUCGGAUUAACUGGGCGUAAAGGGUGCGUAGGCGGGUUUUUAAGUCAGGGGUGAAAUCCCGAGGCUCAACCUCGGAACGGCCUUUGAUACUGGAAAUCUUGAGUCUGGGAGAGGUGAGUGGAACUGCGAGUGUAGAGGUGAAAUUCGUAGAUAUUCGCAAGAACACCAGUGGCGAAGGCGACUCACUGGCCCGGUACUGACGCUGAGGCACGAAAGCGUGGGGAGCAAACAGGAUUAGAUACCCCGGUAGUCCCUGUCUCUUAUAC